GGAUAUAGCUCAGUUGAUAGAGUACCUGCCUUGCAUGCAUAAGGCCCUGAGUUCAAUCCCCAGAACCA
This 68-nucleotide transfer RNA is filed under the name Marmota monax (woodchuck). RNAcentral describes it as "tRNA.Ala". The record is from RNAcentral. Lineage: Eukaryota; Metazoa; Chordata; Mammalia; Rodentia; Sciuridae.